AUGGACCUCUUCUAUGCUUCGACCACUAUCACUAUUGGCAAUGGGGCUAUUGCGCCUUUUUGGGACUCCCCUUGGUUAUUUGGUAGGAAACCAAAAGAUGUGGCUCCACUCAUCUUUGAGUGCUCUUCGAGGAAAAACUGGAAGGUGCGCGAAGCCUUACUCGAGGGCGCGUGGAUUGGCAAAGUCAAAAUUUCGACCUCCUUUUCACUCGAGCAUAUCCGUCAAUUUAUCCAUCUUUGGACCUUGCUUCGGAAUGUUCAUCUCGAGGAGGAUAGGGUGGAUUCCAUCGCAUGGAAGCACACAACGAAUGGUGAAUACACCACAACUUCAGCGUAUAGGGCGCAAUUCUUGGACAUUGCACGCACAGAAACCAUUUGGAAGGUUUGGGCUCCACCAAAAAUCAAGUUCUUUGCUUGGCUAGCAAUUCAAAAUCGUGUUUGGACCGCCGACCGUUUGGCCAAGCGAGGUUGGGACAAUUGCGGACUUUGCCCACUAUGCAAGAGGGAGCAAGAAUCUGUGGCUCACCUCUUCUACAAGUGCCGAUACACGUUGAGGCUCUCGGAAAUGCUGAAAGUAUGGCUACAAUUGGAUACCAUGGAUAUUACUACUUGGCCGGGGGAACGAUCGAUCAAGGAUUGA
This 639-nucleotide ribosomal RNA is filed under the name Triticum aestivum (bread wheat). RNAcentral describes it as "partial small subunit ribosomal RNA". Lineage: Eukaryota; Viridiplantae; Streptophyta; Magnoliopsida; Poales; Poaceae. The record is from RNAcentral.